This 253-nucleotide non-coding RNA is filed under the name uncultured bacterium. Its description in RNAcentral is "partial 16S ribosomal RNA". It matches the Rfam family "Bacterial small subunit ribosomal RNA", at positions 524 to 776 of the family's 1533-position model. The record is from RNAcentral. RNAcentral also lists the same sequence under 2 other names.
UACGUAGGGUGCAAGCGUUGUCCGGAAUUAUUGGGCGUAAAGAGCUCGUAGGCGGUCUGUCGCGUCGGCUGUGAAAACUCGGGGCUCAACCCCGAGCCUGCAGUCGAUACGGGCAGACUAGAGUGCUGUAGGGGAGACUGGAAUUCCUGGUGUAGCGGUGAAAUGCGCAGAUAUCAGGAGGAACACCGGUGGCGAAGGCGGGUCUCUGGGCAGUAACUGACGCUGAGGAGCGAAAGCGUGGGGAGCAAACAGG